AGAAUGACUCUCGGCAACGGAUAUCUAGGCUCUUGCAUCGAUGAAGAACGUAGCGAAAUGCGAUACUUGGUGUGAAUUGCAGAAUCCCGUGAACCAUCGAGUCUUUGAACUCAAGUUGCGCCCGAUGCCAUUAGGUUGAGGGCACGUCUGCCUGGGUGUCACAU
RNAcentral lists this ribosomal RNA (164 nucleotides) under Lathyrus pannonicus subsp. varius. RNAcentral describes it as "5.8S ribosomal RNA". It matches the Rfam family "5.8S ribosomal RNA". From Rfam's summary of the family: 5.8S ribosomal RNA (5.8S rRNA) is a component of the large subunit of the eukaryotic ribosome. It is transcribed by RNA polymerase I as part of the 45S precursor that also contains 18S and 28S rRNA. Lineage: Eukaryota; Viridiplantae; Streptophyta; Magnoliopsida; Fabales; Fabaceae. The record is from RNAcentral.